UGAUUUACAAGUUCAACAUGCAAUUCAUGGUUUGUUUGAAUAUCAAAUCAAACUCCAAAAUCCAUAUAUUUUAUCUUAUUCCAUCCUAUUAAUUAUUUUGCCACUUUGUGGCUAAUAACAGAUUAUUUAUUUUCUAUCAUUAAAAAGCAUACUUAGAUUAAGAGGAUAACGAGUGAAUGGGUGAAACCAGUAAACAAAAUAUGUACUGCUAACAUGGAAGAAGGUUGCAUCAAAAAAGCCACUGAAGGUAUCAGCGGAAAAUACCUAUUUUUCAGAGAUGUGCUUACAGAACCUAUGGUUUGGGAAGCACUUGCUGAAAGUUUGCAGAAGGCAGAAUUAGACUCCUAUGGAGAAGUUAUACAGAAGAUGUUGUAUCACCCAGUCAGGAUCAUAAAUAUAUGUGAAGACAAGGGAAAUAUGGAAAGGUUAAAACCAUUUUGGAACUUUUCAUUUAUGCCAGUAACAAUUUUCAGGAAGGGUAAACACAAGUUGAGUAAUAACAAGAGAUGAACUAUUACAAAAUUAGAUACAAACACAGAGCAUUACCAGCAUGUUUUUUUGCUGUCUGCAUUUAAUAUAUAUUGAGC
RNAcentral lists this long non-coding RNA (587 nucleotides) under Anas platyrhynchos platyrhynchos (common mallard). RNAcentral's name for it is "lncRNA (ENSAPLG00000024427.1)". Lineage: Eukaryota; Metazoa; Chordata; Aves; Anseriformes; Anatidae. The record is from RNAcentral.